This 216-nucleotide ribosomal RNA is filed under the name Klebsiella pneumoniae. RNAcentral describes it as "partial 16S ribosomal RNA". It matches the Rfam family "Bacterial small subunit ribosomal RNA", at positions 355 to 563 of the family's 1533-position model. The record is from RNAcentral. Lineage: Bacteria; Pseudomonadati; Pseudomonadota; Gammaproteobacteria; Enterobacterales; Enterobacteriaceae.
UGGGGAAUAUUGCACAAUGGGCGCAAGCCUGAUGCAGCCAUGCCGCGUGUGUGAAGAAGGCCUUCGGGUUGUAAAGCACUUUCAGCGGGGAGGAAGGCGGUGAGGUUAAUAACCUCAUCGAUUGACGUUACCCGCAGAAGAAGCACCGGCUAACUCCGUGCCAGCAGCCGCGGUAAUACGGAGGGUGCAAGCGUUAAUCGGAAUUACUGGGCGUAA